AAUAGGAUGCCUGAACGAAAAAGGAUUAUCUUGAUAGGAUAAAUCAUGUAAACGAAAAUUACUCCUAUUA
RNAcentral lists this transfer RNA (70 nucleotides) under Scolytinae sp. BMNH 1274292. Its description in RNAcentral is "tRNA-Ile". Lineage: Eukaryota; Metazoa; Arthropoda; Insecta; Coleoptera; Curculionidae. The record is from RNAcentral.